RNAcentral lists this transfer RNA (82 nucleotides) under Arthrobacter sp. Bi26. RNAcentral's name for it is "tRNA-Ala". Lineage: Bacteria; Bacillati; Actinomycetota; Actinomycetes; Micrococcales; Micrococcaceae. The record is from RNAcentral.
ACCGUGAGCGGGGCGUUGAGGUCAGCCUCCGCCGCCUCGCGCGCGGCCUGCAGCGGCGGGAUCGCGUCCCGCGCCUGGUUCC